Molecule: ribosomal RNA, 445 nt
Filed under: uncultured bacterium
Lineage: Bacteria
Description: partial 16S ribosomal RNA
Rfam family: Bacterial small subunit ribosomal RNA
Source: RNAcentral
GUGAGGAAUAUUGGUCAAUGGCCGUAAGGCUGAACCAGCCAAGUAGCGUGCAGGAUGACGGCCCUAUGGGUUGUAAACUGCUUUUAAACGGGGAUAAAGUGAGCCACGUGUGGUUUAUUGCAGGUACCGUUUGAAUAAGGACCGGCUAAUUCCGUGCCAGCAGCCGCGGUAAUACGGAAGGUCCGGGCGUUAUCCGGAUUUAUUGGGUUUAAAGGGAGCGUAGGCGGAGCGUCAAGCCAGCAGUGAAAUGUAGCGGCCCAACCGCUGCACUGCUGUUGGAACUGGCGCCCUUGAGUGCACACGAGGCAUGCGGAAUUUGUGGUGUAGCGGUGAAAUGCUUAGAUAUCACGAAGAACUCCGAUUGCGAAGGCAGCUUACUGUAGCGCCACUGACGCUGAAGCUCGAAAGUGCGGGUAUCGAACAGGAUUAGAAACCCGAGUAGUCC